This 119-nucleotide ribosomal RNA is filed under the name Pteropus alecto (black flying fox). Lineage: Eukaryota; Metazoa; Chordata; Mammalia; Chiroptera; Pteropodidae. The record is from RNAcentral.
GUCUAUGGCCAUGCCACCCUGAACAAGCCGGAUCCUGUCUGAUCUCCGACCCUAAGCAGGGUCGGGCCUGGUUAGUACUUGGAUGGGAGACCACCUAGGAAGACCAGGUGCUGUAGGUG